This 250-nucleotide ribosomal RNA is filed under the name uncultured prokaryote. RNAcentral describes it as "partial 16S ribosomal RNA". It matches the Rfam family "Bacterial small subunit ribosomal RNA", at positions 524 to 773 of the family's 1533-position model. The record is from RNAcentral.
UACGUAUGGAGCAAGCGUUAUCCGGAUUUACUGGGUGUAAAGGGAGCGUAGACGGCCAGGCAAGUCUGAUGUGAAAGGUGGGGGCUCAACCCUCAAACUGCAUUGGAAACUGUCCGGCUGGAGUGUCGGAGAGGUAAGUGGAAUUCCUAGUGUAGCGGUGAAAUGCGUAGAUAUUAGGAGGAACACCAGCGGCGAAGGCGGCUUACUGGACGAUAACUGACGUUGAGGCUCGAAAGCGUGGGGAGCAAAC